GCCGAUUUAGCUCAGCGGUAGAGCACUUCACUCGUAAUGAAGGGGUCUCGGGUUCAAAUCCCGAAAUCGGCU
RNAcentral lists this transfer RNA (72 nucleotides) under Alistipes sp. RNAcentral describes it as "tRNA-Thr". It matches the Rfam family "tRNA". From Rfam's summary of the family: Transfer RNA (tRNA) molecules are approximately 80 nucleotides in length. Their secondary structure includes four short double-helical elements and three loops (D, anti-codon, and T loops). Lineage: Bacteria; Pseudomonadati; Bacteroidota; Bacteroidia; Bacteroidales; Rikenellaceae. RNAcentral also lists the same sequence under 1 other name. The record is from RNAcentral.